UUCGUCUUCUCUCUACUAACACCGCCAAUUCGUUUUCUCUCUACCUCCCUACUUUCUCUCUGGCGAUGUCCGAAACUCCGAAUCACAGUGUUCUACCCUUGCCGUUCUUGGUCUCUACUUUCCGUUUUGAUCCUGUGUUUUUCUACACCCAAUCGCACAUAUAAACAGUUGGUGUUGUGUAAAUCUUACGUCUAAAUUAGUAUUUUAGGGUUUAUGUGUUUUUCGUUAGCAGAUCGGAACUUCUACAUGAUGUUAAUGUUAAGAGUUGGCGAAAUCAGAGGAAGGAUGUUGAAUAAGCUAAGUAACCGAUCCCUAUAUCUAUUUCUCUAUAUAAUUCAUUUUUAAUUUCAACACCUAUCUACAAUUUAGUCUAAAAAUACUGGUAGAUGAUUUCAUCCUAUGAUUGACCAUAUUAGGAUUUUUUUUUGAUAAAUUGUUAACAUGCAAGCGAGAGAACAACAAUGGUAAAAAAAAAUUUGUACACAUGCAUCGAUUUUUCUAUCCCUUUACUCCGUUCAUUCAUUUUUCUGUAUGUUUACUUUUAUAUUUCUGUAUGUUAGAGUAAUAGUCUAUUAUUCUUAUCAUUCACUAUUUGAAUAUAAUUAGGGUUUUUCUAACUACAGCAGAGUGAAUAUUUGUGAACUCAAUCUAAAGUUUCCUCUGUAAAAAAUAUAUAUCUGCGGAGUAUUAUAUUUGAAAUGAUUUUUUAUGCUAACAGAUUUAGAAAUGAUUAUGCUGACAAAUUAUUAGCUCUGGAAUGAAAUUGCAAAUGAACAUAAAACUAAUUGAUUCAAGUUUUUCAUUUCAGAUUCAGAAAAGGAAGGCUAUUACCAUGGUAAGAGGCAUAUGUAGUGCAUAGAAGAAGGCAUGAUCAAGAAAUAUGCUUCUGAGGUAUUCAACCCAACAUCAAACAAUUUGAAAGUGUCUGAGAAGGACUUGCUAAUAUUGCUGGAUGCAGUUGGACAAAGAGGUUUUUUCCAAUGUAAAGGGGAGCCAUUCUCAGCCAUUGAUUGCAAAGAAUGGCUGGAAACACGAAAGGGUUAAACGAAGAUGGGUGGAUUGUUAGUAUGCUGAAUUUAUAGAACACCUUUGAAGGUUGAAGAGUUCGACAUGUUGCUGGAUUGAAGGCUGUAGAGUUCCAAAAAAACGCUGUCAUUAUUGAAGAGCAAUAAUAGCUGUGCCCCGGAAUCUGAAACGCCACAAAGUAGAAAGCUGCUUUUGAAUUGAUUUGAAUCAAUCUUAAUUUAUUUCUUUAACAUGUGUAUUUAUUCGGAACAACUUCCCACAACUUGAGAGAACCAAAACUGGUGGCCAAGCAUAAAUUUAGCAUUCAAUACUUAUACAAAUACAUUUAUUUGUUAUA
Long non-coding RNA from Ipomoea nil (Japanese morning glory), 1363 nucleotides. RefSeq lists it as uncharacterized. The record is from RefSeq and is a predicted model, not a curated record. The transcript is spliced from 3 exons. Lineage: Eukaryota; Viridiplantae; Streptophyta; Magnoliopsida; Solanales; Convolvulaceae.